CGGAGUUGAAAAGCCCUAGAAGCACGGUAUUACCAUAUCGACGGUCCCGACAUCCAAAAGGGUGCAUCUGUAUUGUGCCGCUAGGGUCCAUGCAUGCAUCUAGGGCAAAGAGCCUAACACGGGAUUAGUAGACGGGAUGAAUGAAGAUGCACACAUACCACAUAUAGAUUGAAUUGUUCAGUAUUGGCCACUGCAACAAUAAAAAAUCAUUGAGCAAUCAACAAUCGAUAUUGAUCAUCUGACGAGGAAGCAACGAGGGCGAUCGAAUCAGAGAAAUGGUCAAGAGCGCAUGCGUAGUUUAUAGCGGCAACCGCCAACACGAGGUCAAGCGUGCACCGAGGCCCAUAGAGAUGGGAAUGAGAGAGCGGUAGUUUUGCACGCAGGAAUUAUAUCCUGGCGCCAUAAGUGCUUGAUAUAGCUAGCAUUCAACCGAGCCCACACCCCUCCCCUUUAUGCAAUUCCUAAUAGG
RNAcentral lists this long non-coding RNA (469 nucleotides) under Hordeum vulgare. RNAcentral describes it as "long non-coding RNA (HVUL_LNC005140)". The record is from RNAcentral. Lineage: Eukaryota; Viridiplantae; Streptophyta; Magnoliopsida; Poales; Poaceae.